Long non-coding RNA from Suncus etruscus (white-toothed pygmy shrew), 192 nucleotides. RefSeq lists it as uncharacterized. The transcript is spliced from 2 exons. The record is from RefSeq and is a predicted model, not a curated record. NCBI's taxonomy places the organism in Eukaryota, Metazoa, Chordata, Mammalia, Eulipotyphla, Soricidae.
CUUCGAGACCUAGUUCAAUUUUACCAUUCUAUAAUCAUCCCCAACCGUUUGUGGUCCUCUAAUCUCAGAGCUUAACCCAGGAAAAAGUUGGCAGAUUCUAAAGGAAUAAUGACCUAUCUUGUAAAAACCCUGAAGACCUCUUAGCCAUUAGGAUACCGUUCUAAUUUUAAAUAAACAGUUUCGCAGAAGCAA